UUUAUUGGAGAGUUUGAUCCUGGCUCAGGAUGAACGCUGGCGGCGUGCCUAAUACAUGCAAGUCGAGCGAAUGGAUUAAGAGCUUGCUCUUAUGAAGUUAGCGGCGGACGGGUGAGUAAUACGUGGGUAACCUGCCCAUAAGACUGGGAUAACUCCGGGAAACCGGGGCUAAUACCGGAUAACAUUUUGAACUGCAUGGUUCGAAAUUGAAAGGC
This 215-nucleotide ribosomal RNA is filed under the name Bacillus thuringiensis. RNAcentral's name for it is "partial 16S ribosomal RNA". It matches the Rfam family "Bacterial small subunit ribosomal RNA", at positions 1 to 209 of the family's 1533-position model. Lineage: Bacteria; Bacillati; Bacillota; Bacilli; Caryophanales; Bacillaceae. The record is from RNAcentral.